UAGUCCACGCCGUAAACGAUGGUCACUAGUUGUUGGGGCUUUAUGCCUCAGUGAUUAAGAGAAAUUGAUAAGUGACCCACCUGGGGAGUACGAUCGCAAGAUUGAAACUCAAAGGAAUUGACGGGGGCCCGCACAAGCGGUGGAGCAUGUGGUUUAAUUCGAUGAUACGCGAGGAACCUUACCAGGGCUUAAAUGUAAGUUGCAUGAUUUAGAGAUAGAUCUUUCUUCGGACUACUUACAAGGUGCUGCAUGGUUGUCGUCAGCUCGUGCCGUGAGGUGUCAGGUUAAGUCCUAUAACGAGCGCAACCCCUACCGUUAGUUGCCAGCAUGUUAUGAUGGGGACUCUAGCGGGACUGCCGGUGCAAACCGAGAGGAAGGUGGGGAUGACGUCAAAUCAUCACGGCCCUUACGUCCUGGGGCUACACACGUGCUACAGUGGGGCAGUACAAAGGGCAGCUAAGCCGCGAGGUGGCGCAAAUCCUCU
This 484-nucleotide ribosomal RNA is filed under the name uncultured bacterium. RNAcentral describes it as "bacterial SSU rRNA". It matches the Rfam family "Bacterial small subunit ribosomal RNA", at positions 791 to 1277 of the family's 1533-position model. The record is from RNAcentral.